This 1637-nucleotide long non-coding RNA is filed under the name Capsicum annuum. RNAcentral describes it as "long non-coding RNA (CANN_LNC005628)". The record is from RNAcentral. Lineage: Eukaryota; Viridiplantae; Streptophyta; Magnoliopsida; Solanales; Solanaceae.
CUUAAUCUUGUUUAUUUGUAUUGAAAAUCAUGGGUUUUUUCUUAAUGCAUCAUAUUGAAUCUGGCUUAUCCAUUUUGUGCUGUUAAUCAUAUUUAGCUAAUCUUUUGCUCUAAAGUUUAUGACCCAUUAAUGCUAGUGCUUAAUCUUGUUGAUUUGUUUUGAUGGAUUUUUCUUAAUAAUGAAUCUGGCUUGACCAUUUGGCCCUUUGGCCUUUUUGUGCUUGUUAAUUGUUUUCAGCUAGGCAAAGUUCUAAUCUUUUUCUAUAAUGUUUCUGACCCUUUAAUGGCUUAAUGUUGUUGAUUUGUGUUUUUGUUAAUGCAUUUGGCCUUUUGUGCUUUUGUUCUUUUGUUAAUCAUACUCAGCUAGUCUUUUGCUCUAAUGUUAUGGAAUCUUUAAUACUAGUGCUUAAUCUUGUUGAUUUGUAUUAACAAAUCUGGCUUACCCAUUUGGCCUUUUGUGCUUGUCAAUCAGUUUCAGCUAGGGAAAGUUCUAAUCUUUUGGUCCAAGUGUUGGCACCCUUUAAUGCUGGUGCUUAAUCUUGUUGAUUUGUAUGAACAGUCAUACUUUUUUUAAUGCAGCAUAUUGAAUCUGGCUUACCGUUUGUCCGUUUUCUGCUUGUUAAUCAUACUCAGCUAGGCAAAGUUGUAACCUUUUGCUUAAUCUUGCAUGUUCUUUUAAUGCAUCAUAUUGAAUCUGGCUUACCCUUUUGGUCUUUGUGCUAAUGAUAGUCUCCAGCUUGGCCAAAAUCUGUUCUUUGCUUCAGUUUUUUGUACCUGUUGAUGUUAAUGCUUAAUCUUGUUGAUUUUUAUUAGUAAUCAUGGCUUGUUUAAUGGAUCAUAUGGGAGUUUUGCUUACCCUUUGGCCGUUUAAGCUUGUUUCUUAUUCCCAGCUAGGCUAAUAUCUGUUUUCUGCUUGUGUUGUGCUGCCUAUUAUGAUAAUGCUUUUUGCUUACCCUUUGGCCGUUUAAGCUUGUUUCUUAUUCCCAGCUAGGAUAAUAUCUGUUUUCUGCUUGUGUUGUGCUGCCUAUUAUGAUAAUGCCUAGAGUUGUUUAUUUGUAUUAGUAAUCUUGGCUUCUUAAUUGCAUCAUCUCAGAUCUGUGUUUCAAUAAGUUUAAUUAUUCUUAUAGCUGUCAUUGCUGCUGGUUACUGUUUGAUUUCUUGAAAUGCUGUAUUCUUUAUUUGUUCAUUUAUUUUUGUAGAAAAGAUUGUUUUUAUGUGUUGUGCUUAGUUUGGGUUCUGCUCUUCCACGCAUGUGGUUGAUUAGGUCCAUCGGUAUAAGGGCAAUUAUUGUUUUAAUCUCCAAUGAUAAAAGUUGAAUUUCAUUGGUCUUCACAAUUAAUCCAAAUGUUUUUAUGCUUGGGGAUCUUGUCCAUAGUUAGUGUACUUCUCAACUGAAGAUAUGAGAAGUUCCAUUGUGAAUCUGCAUUUUUGAUGUAGUAAAUGGCAUCUGGACUGUCCAUUUUGGUGAUUGAACAAGAAAUAGAAUGCGAUAUAGGUGGAAGAUGAUGUGGACAAUGUGGCCUGAAACGUAAAUGAUGUGCCUGCAGCUAGCCAACUCUGUUUCUGGAAUUCCACUUGACUUUGUUUUCCACUUCCCGUUCCAUUUUGCUUUUGAAUUCAUCGUUUAGUGCAUUAGGG